Amphibalanus amphitrite is the source of this 292-nucleotide long non-coding RNA. RefSeq lists it as uncharacterized. The transcript is spliced from 3 exons. The record is from RefSeq and is a predicted model, not a curated record. NCBI's taxonomy places the organism in Eukaryota, Metazoa, Arthropoda, Thecostraca, Balanomorpha, Balanidae.
UGAGUUUAAGAGCACCGGAACAAAUGUGACCGCCUUGCACCUUGUGAACCAGGAACCAUGGACUACUCAUGACGUCACAGGCCAAUUGGCGCCACCCCAAACGUUACAGAAUGAAUCAUAUUAUGAGACCCAGCACGUGAACCCGUCAAAAAUGCUGACGGAGGCGGCGCUGAUGUUUGACGCCGUGCUAGUGCUGGCUCGUGCGCUGCGUCAGCUCGGCUCGGCGCUGCGCGUGCGGCCUCUGAGCUGUGACCGGGAGAAGGGCUGGCAGCAAGGAACCUCGCUGGUCAAC